Molecule: non-coding RNA, 75 nt
Organism: Trichonephila clavipes
Lineage: Eukaryota; Metazoa; Arthropoda; Arachnida; Araneae; Nephilidae
Source: the annotation of a GenBank genome assembly
GGCGCCGUAGCUUGGUUGGUUCUAACGCCUGUCUGGUAAACAGGAUAUCACGGGUUUGAUCUCACGUCGGUGCCU